CCUACGGGAGGCAGCAGUGGGGGAUAUUGCACAAUGGGGGGAACCCUGAUGCAGCGACGCCGCGUGGGUGAAGGAGUGCUUCGGCAUGUAAAGCCCUAUCGGCAGGGAAGAAGCAAGACGGUACCUGACUAAGAAGCCCCGGCUAACUACGUGCCAGCAGCCGCGGUAAUACGGAGGGGGCGAGCGGUAUCCGGAUGCACUGGGUGUAAAGGGAGCGUAGACGGCCAUGCAAGCCAGGGGUGAAAGCCCGGGGCCCAACCCCGGGACUGCCCUUGGAACUGCCUGGCGGGAGUGCGGGAGGGGCAGGCGGAAGUGCGGGUGUGGCGGUGAAAGGCGUAGAGAUCAGGAGG
This 350-nucleotide ribosomal RNA is filed under the name uncultured bacterium. RNAcentral's name for it is "partial 16S ribosomal RNA". It matches the Rfam family "Bacterial small subunit ribosomal RNA", at positions 338 to 704 of the family's 1533-position model. The record is from RNAcentral.